This 806-nucleotide ribosomal RNA is filed under the name Lachnum sp. FW1PhC7. Its description in RNAcentral is "partial 18S ribosomal RNA". It matches the Rfam family "Eukaryotic small subunit ribosomal RNA", at positions 57 to 575 of the family's 1831-position model. The record is from RNAcentral. Lineage: Eukaryota; Fungi; Ascomycota; Leotiomycetes; Helotiales; Lachnaceae.
GUCUAAGUAUAAGCAAUCUAUACCGUGAAACUGCGAAUGGCUCAUUAAAUCAGUUAUCGUUUAUUUGAUAGUACCUUACUACUUGGAUAACCGUGGUAAUUCUAGAGCUAAUACAUGCUAAAAACCUCGACUUCGGAAGGGGUGUAUUUAUUAGAUAAAAAACCAAUGCCCUUCGGGGCUCCUUGGUGAUUCAUAAUAACUUAACGAAUCGCAUGGCCUUGUGCCGGCGAUGGUUCAUUCAAAUUUCUGCCCUAUCAACUUUCGAUGGUAGGAUAGUGGCCUACCAUGGUUUCAACGGGUAACGGGGAAUAACUCUAGUUCUCAAUUGGCAACAAGUCUGCGUAGCAGGCGACACACCUGGAUGCGGGGAACUCCUGUAAGCUUACGGUACUGGGUCAGAGGUAACGCCUCUGUAUCGAUAGUUAUAAUCCGUGAGAUAGGGACAACCCGCAGCAGAUCUGGCUAAGGCUGGACUGUUCAACGCUCGCUAAGGUGUGGGCUCUCAGAGUUUUGAGGUACGGGCUAACCCCGCUGGAAACGGCGCUUCUGGUAAACACGUAGGUGUGAACUAGGGGAAGUAGCUAGUCUACAGGGUGUUUUUGUAGGGUUCUAUUCCGGAGAGGGAGCCUGAGAAACGGCUACCACAUCCAAGGAAGGCAGCAGGCGCGCAAAUUACCCAAUCCCGACACGGGGAGGUAGUGACAAUAAAUACUGAUACAGGGCUCUUUUGGGUCUUGUAAUUGGAAUGAGUACAAUUUAAAUCCCUUAACGAGGAACAAUUGGAGGCAAGUCUGGUGAACACGUCC